Molecule: ribosomal RNA, 500 nt
Filed under: uncultured bacterium
Lineage: Bacteria
Description: partial 16S ribosomal RNA
Rfam family: Bacterial small subunit ribosomal RNA
Source: RNAcentral
AUUGAACGCUGGCGGAAUGCUUUACACAUGCAAGUCGAACGGCAGCACGGGGGCAACCCUGGUGGCGAGUGGCGAACGGGUGAGUAAUACAUCGGAACGUGCCCAGUCGUGGGGGAUAACGUAGCGAAAGUUACGCUAAUACCGCGUACGAUCUACGGAUGAAAGCGGGGGACCGCAAGGCCUCGCGCGAUUGGAGCGGCCGAUGUCAGAUUAGGUAGUUGGUGAGGUAAAGGCUCACCAAGCCGACGAUCUGUAGCUGGUCUGAGAGGACGACCAGCCACACUGGGACUGAGACACGGCCCAGACUCCUACGGGAGGCAGCAGUGGGGAAUUUUGGACAAUGGGCGCAAGCCUGAUCCAGCCAUUCCGCGUGCAGGACGAAGGCCUUCGGGUUGUAAACUGCUUUUGUACGGAACGAAAAGGCUUUGGUUAAUACCUGGGGCUCAUGACGGUACCGUAAGAAUAAGCACCGGCUAACUACGUGCCAGCCGCCGCUGUAA